UACCAUAUCUAGCGUUAUGGUUCCCCACAUCAUCAAGAUGCAGGGCUAAGAGGGAAGCCGGAGAAUCGCGCCACGGCGCGUUUCCAGCCGGCGCUGCCCCCGCAACUGUGAGCGGAGAGCGGUUUCGUCGUUUCAGCGUCACUGGUGCCGGCCCCGCUUUUGCCGGGCCGCGCCGGGAAGGCCGGACGGAGCCGCCGUGACCCGCGAGCCAGGAGACCUGCCAUGACCGAAUGAACGUC
RNAcentral lists this non-coding RNA (239 nucleotides) under Azospirillum lipoferum. The record is from RNAcentral. Lineage: Bacteria; Pseudomonadati; Pseudomonadota; Alphaproteobacteria; Rhodospirillales; Azospirillaceae.